Molecule: ribosomal RNA, 257 nt
Filed under: Sphingobacterium sp. 3-45(2012)
Lineage: Bacteria; Pseudomonadati; Bacteroidota; Sphingobacteriia; Sphingobacteriales; Sphingobacteriaceae
Description: partial 16S ribosomal RNA
Rfam family: Bacterial small subunit ribosomal RNA
Source: RNAcentral
UCGGACGGGAUCCGUCGGAGAGCUUGCUCGAAGACGGUGAGAGUGGCGCACGGGUGCGUAACGCGUGAGCAACCUACCUCUAUCAGGGGGAUAGCCUCUCGAAAGAGAGAUUAACACCGCAUAACAUAUGUGACCGGCAUCGGUUGGAUAUUAAAUAUUUAUAGGAUAUAGAUGGGCUCGCGUGACAUUAGCUAGUUGGUAGGGUAACGGCUUACCAAGGCGACGAUGUCUAGGGGCUCUGAGAGGAGAAUCCCCCA